CUGUGCUGGGUGUGGCCGCGGCUGCCUCUGAACCUCUCGCUGAGCUCCCUAGAUUCGGAGUCGCUGCCAGGAAAGCGCCCAGCUUUACUCCAGCUGGCGAUUGCGUCAAACAGCGUCAAUCCAAGAAGCACUGCGCUCUGGAGUCGACCUCAGCUUCUGGGUAGCCGGGUUCCUGUCGUUCAGCAGGCGCUUGGUGGGCGGAUGGUGGCGAAAUGAAGGCUACAGAGGCCGCCACCGCGGGAUGUGGACUCCGGGCCGCUGAAGGCUUCUACGGCCUCCUCCAUCGAUACCCUCCGUCGACGAGGGACCCAUCCUGCUGGUAGUCUCAGGUUUCGAUGCCAGUGAAAUGUCACCUCAGCUCCACUGUCCCCGGUGUCAGGCAAGCCCUAGAUGGAGUUUCACUCUUUUUGCCCAGUCUGAAGUGCAAUGGCAUGAUCUCGGCUCACCACAACCUCCGCCUCCUGGAUUCAAGUGAUUCUCCUACCUCAGCCUCCCAAGUAGCUGGGAUUACAGGCAUAUGCCACCACACCUGGCUAAUUUUGUAUUUUUAGUAGAGAUGGGUUUUCUUCAUGUUGGUCAGGCUGGUCCCAAACUCCCAGCCUCAGAUGAUCCUCCCACCUUGGCCUCCCAAAGUGCUGGGAUUAUAGGUGUGAGCCACUGCUCCCGGCCUCUAAUCUUUAUACUUUUUAUUCAUCUUUCCUGCUGAAUUGCUCUGGAUAGGAUUUCCAGUACAAUGUUAAAUAGAAAUAGUUAAAGCAGGCAUGCUUAUCUUAUUCCAUAUCUUAGAGAGAACACAUCUAAUUAAUCACCAUUAGAUACAAUAUUAUAGCUUCCUCAUAGAUCCCUGCUAUGAUUUUAAUGUCUCCUCCAAAACUCAUGGUGAACGAGACUCACCUCCAAAAAAAAACAACAACCAAAAGACUCCACCUCCCAACAUGCUUACACUUGCAAGUGGCUCACACCUGUAAUCUGUAAUCCCAGGGCUUUGUUUGGGAGGCCAAAGUGGGUAGAUCAGGAAGUCAGGAGUUCGAGACCAGCCUGGCCAAUAUGGCAAAACUCUGUCUAUACUAAAAAUACAAAAAUUAGGCGGGCAUGGUGGCGCACUCCUGUAAUCCCAGCUACUCAGGAGGCUGAGGCAGGGGAAUUGCUUGAACCCAGGAGUCAGAGGUUGCAGUGAGCUGAGAAUGCCUCAGGGCAUUGCAGCCUGGGCAUUGCAGCGAGACAAGUCUCCUUCUGUUGCCCGGGCAGGACUGGAGUGGCAGGGUGAUCUCAGCUCACUGCAACCUCCACCUCCCAGGGUUCAAGCAAUUCUCCCACCUCAGCCUCCCAAGUAGCUGGGACUUCAGGCAUGCACCCUCAUACUUGGCUACUUUUUGUAUUUUUAAUAGAGAUGGGGUUUCACCAUGUUGGUCAGGCUGGUCUCAAACUCCUGACCUCAUGAUCGGCCCGCCUCGGCCUCCCAAAGUGCUGGGAUUACAGGCAUGAGCCACAGAGCCCAGCCUGAUAUAUUAUCAUUUUUACAUAUUGCUAGGUUUGACUUGCUAGUACUUUCUUAAGCAUAUUUUUGUGUCUGUAUUCAUGAGAGGUACUGAUUUAUCAUUGUCUUUUUCUGUAAUAUCUAAGUUUGGGUGUAAUUAUUAUUCUGGCUUUAUAAAAUAAACUCAGUUUUCCUGAGAGUCAUACAA
This is a long non-coding RNA of Callithrix jacchus (white-tufted-ear marmoset), 1685 nucleotides long. RefSeq lists it as uncharacterized. The record is from RefSeq and is a predicted model, not a curated record. Lineage: Eukaryota; Metazoa; Chordata; Mammalia; Primates; Cebidae.